GACGAACGCUGGCGGCGUGCUUAACACAUGCAAGUCGAGCGGUAAGGCCCUUUCGGGGGUACGACGAGCGGCGAACGGGUGAGUAACACGUGGGUGACCUGCCCUCAGCUCUGGGAUAAGCCUGGGAAACUGGGUCUAAUACCGGAUAUGACUCCAUGACGCAUGUUGGUGGGGUGGAAAGCCUUGUGCGGCUGAGGAUGGGCCCGCGGCCUAUCAGCUUGUUGGUGGGGUGANGGCCUACCAAGGCGACGACGGGUAGCCGGCCUGAGAGGGCGACCGGCCACACUGGGACUGAGACACGGCCCAGACUCCUACGGGAGGCAGCAGUGGGGAAUCUUGCGCAAUGGGCGAAA
RNAcentral lists this ribosomal RNA (353 nucleotides) under uncultured bacterium. RNAcentral describes it as "bacterial SSU rRNA". It matches the Rfam family "Bacterial small subunit ribosomal RNA", at positions 28 to 380 of the family's 1533-position model. The record is from RNAcentral.